UAGGGAAUCUUGCACAAUGGGCGAAAGCCUGAUGCAGCGACGCCGCGUGGGGGAUGAAGGCCUUCGGGUUGUAAACCCCUUUCAGUAGGGACGAAAAUGACGGUACCUACAGAAGAAGCUCCGGCCAACUACGUGCCAGCAGCCGCGGUAACACGUAGGGGGCAAGCGUUGUCCGGAAUUAUUGGGCGUAAAGAGCUCGUAGGUGGUUCAGUAAGUCGGAUGUGAAAGCUCAGGGCUCAACCCUGAGACGCCAUCCGAUACUGCUGUGACUAGAAUUCGGUAGAGGAGUGUGGAAUUCCUGGUGUAGCGGUGAAAUGCGCAGAUAUCAGGAGGAACACCAACAGCGAAGGCAGCACUCUGGGCCGACAUUGACACUGAGGAGCGAAAGCGUGGGGAGCAAACAGGAUUAGAUACCCCCGUAGUCC
This 425-nucleotide ribosomal RNA is filed under the name uncultured prokaryote. RNAcentral's name for it is "bacterial SSU rRNA". It matches the Rfam family "Bacterial small subunit ribosomal RNA", at positions 355 to 796 of the family's 1533-position model. The record is from RNAcentral.